UCAGUUCAAUCUGGGAACAGUAUAUCUAACGGGAAAUGAAUCUCGUACGCAUUUCAGUAUAAAGUUAUUUCACUCCCGUACGUCACGAGACUUCGCGAGAUUAAUGGAGACUGGAAGCGUCGGACUGAAAGCUAUCGUGACUGCUAAUGAAUCAUCCACAUAAUUCCACACGUUCAACAACUUUAAUGAGUUGGUAAGUUUAAGCAUAAAGAAGAUAUAUUUUUUCACAUGAAGUAACUAAUAUGAGAGUGAUUUAUUCUAUGUAAAGUGUUUUAUUACGUUGGCCAAAUUCACGAUCAUUGAAAAAUGCUACUGGUGCCAUUUUUUUUGUAUUAUCCGAUUGCAUUGCCCAACGUUUUGUGAUGAAAAAAAUGCGAUCAUGACAAAUUUGAAGCGACAGUUUACAAGUUUAGUACACUAGCUUCACGUUUCAUGUAGUUUGGAUGCUAUUUUAUUGGUAUUGAUAAAGAAAUCAGUCAUCAUUCGCGGUCUCAUUCCGAAAUGCCAUUGGCGCCAUUUUUAUUAUCCCCCCUCUUGCAUUGUCCAACGUAUUGUGAUUAAAUGAAUGCAAUUAUUACAAAAAAAAUGUGGCAGAUUACAAGUUUGAUACACUGGCAUCCCGUGUAACUUAGUUUUAAUGACAUUUUAUUGAUAUUAAAAGAAAUAUCGAGUCAUCAAUUUUGCCAUUUUUGGUCCUUAUCUGGCCAGUCUGUGUACCCAGGAACAUAUAUAUAUUAUUAUAUUAUACUAUUCCAAGGUGUACCUUAUUUAAUCUCCAUCACAAUAAAACUCCUUUUAAAGCACAUAAACACUAAAAUAAAUAUAAAAUUUGACAUGCAUAUGUGAUUUUGAUGUUGUCAAAGUACAUAAAUGUCCCCCCCCCCACACACACACACACACACAAACACACAGAAAAAUGUCAUUAUUUUACAACAAUAACACUAUUUUUUUAUUUAUAAUAUAUAAGUAUUGCAACCUUUAUUUGUCCCAUUUUUUUCAAAAGUUUUAAGAUCAUAAAUGCAUCAUUUCUUCACAAAAUUUAGAGGUGGCUUAUGAGGGUGUACGAAGCGAAUGUAGGACAGGAAGUCACAAUUAUUUUUUUCUGAUUAUUUUCUUUGAAUAAAAGACGCUUAUUUAUACAAAAAAUAUUUUUGUAUUAUACUUGAACUAUUGUAUAUAAACAAACUUUGUAAACAAAAUUUAUCAAAAAAAAUUUUUAAAGAUGAUCAAAUUAUUGUUAAAAAAACAAAAUGUCAAAGUGGCUUGGCACCUAAAUGGCUUCAUGGUGUCAAGAAAUAUUAUUUUUGCAUGAUUAAUAUUAAAUAAAUCUUCAUUUUUCAAGUAUAAUGACACAUUUCCUAAACUUUAAUAUGAAUAUAUGUAUAUGUGUUCAAAAGUAAAUAUAUAAUCAUGAUAAUAGUUUAGGUUUAGUUUGAAUUUUUGAAGCUUUGCAGCAGGGGUAUAAUUUGUGCCCUAUGGACACAUUCCCAAUUUAUAUUUUAUCAAUUUAGUAAAAUUAUAAUUUUUAUUGCAGAUACGUAUACAGUUCAUACAGAUACAGUUUUUUGGGCCAUCACUGAAUUGACAGUACAAAAUUAUGUGAUAUAAGCAGUGUUCAGACACAAGCUUUCCUUAUUGAGCAAGAUGAGACAUAUAAAAAUAUCGAACAUUAUAUUAUCUACCAAUGCGAUCCUUUCUCUAUUAAAGAGAGC
RNAcentral lists this long non-coding RNA (1712 nucleotides) under Mytilus galloprovincialis (Mediterranean mussel). The record is from RNAcentral. Lineage: Eukaryota; Metazoa; Mollusca; Bivalvia; Mytilida; Mytilidae.